UCAGGGAAGUGAGACCAAGAAAUCACCCACUCACAGGCAGUCGUUGGCUUGGGGGACAUAGUAGAAAGCAGGGACUCUGGCUUCAUACUUGGCCUUCACACGGAGGUUCCCAUUGUGGCUCAUAAACUGUAAGACAAGAGCAACUUGGGGUAAUAUUAGAACUUGAAAAAAAUGUGAAAUGAAACCACUGUCUACCCAGAAGGCCACUCUUCCCAUUGGCUCCUAGGCUGAGUCAGGAAAUGCUCCUGGAGUUUGAUGCAUCCUAUUGGGCUUGGUCAUACAUGCUGCUGGGAAGCCACAGCCUGGAACAAUGAGGCACUACAACCGUGGCUCACAUGGGCAGAGCACUCUAUGGUUUUUACCCUAGUGGAUUCAUUCGAUUCCCUAGACCAUUUUAAUACUAUCAUCCCCAUAUUAGAGAUGGCCAGGACCACCAGCAGCUACGUGCAGGAGAUAGACAUAGCUGGAGGACAGAAGAAGUUGGAGCUGGCCCCAUGGAGUAGGCGAAGAAGGACAUGUCUGUGUCUCUGGGCUCCUUGGAAGAUUAGACACGCUCUAACCCGUGAAAGCGUUCUACUGAUGUAUCGCUUGCAUCUACUUAGAGAGAUUCCAGUGCUAACUCCGAGGAAACGCUCCUUGAUACCCAGCCUCGAGCAAUCUCUCCGGCUUCUGGUCCUGCUGGAACCCUGUUAUGGGAUCCGUCCCUCCCUUCGGCCCCGAGCACUUUCUAUCUACAUUGCAUCACAGUUAUUUAUAUAUUUAUGUUAACUCCUCUCCCACCUCCAGCACGCACAGGGCCACGCUGAAUAGUUCACAUCAGUAGCUUUAUUUCUGUAUCCCACACAACCCUAGAAACCCAGCACCUGCCCAUUUUUAGAAGUCCAAUAAACAGUUGCAUGACUGUUCACGGGGAAGUGUCGUUUCACCAAUGUGGACUUCACCAGGCACUUUUAUCUGUUAAGUUCCAUCACUGUCAGGUGUGGCCAGGGCUUUGAUAGUCUUGAAUCUAGGGUCUCCCCCCACCAUCCUUGUCCCUCCUUGACCCCUUUCUCUGGGAUCUCCGGGUGUCUGGUAAGGCACAGAUGGCACACACUUGCCUUCCCCUCUGUAGGUAAACACCCAUCUGUCAUAUGCAUAUAGCUUUAUGCACAAGGAUGUUAGAUUUCCAUCCCGAUGAUUACAGUUGAAGUUCAAGCUGACCUACCAGUAUCCCAACUCAACAUGCAUGCAUAGGUACAUGUGAAUACAUAGGGCAGCAUGAUAUAAUGGAAUGAGUCCAAGAAUACAGAUUUUGAAUCUUGACUCCACCACUUACUAGCUACGUGGCCUUGGGCAAAUUCUUUCACUUCUCUGAGCCUUAUAUUCCUCGCCUGUAAAAUGAGAAUUAGGGACGAUCCAUUUAAUGGGGUUGUUGAGAUGUGCCAGGACGUGCAUGGCACACAAAGUCCUCAGAACACAGGGCUGCCUUCCUUUCCCUGCCCGUCUGGUCAGCUCGUGGGAUCAUCAUUUGGAAUGCUGUGUGUCAUUUCCCAUCUUCCACAGGGUGGAGGAGGUCAAGCCUCUGGGCCUGGGAGGAGGGGGACAUUCCCAAAAAUAAUCAGUCAGGAGAGUCUCAACUGUGGGGGGUGAGACCUAGCCCAGAGGCAGCUCUAGAGGAACCAGAGAGAGCCCCAGAGGGGUCAGAGGGCAUGGGGCUUGUUUACCAAAUAGGCUGAAAGAUGAUUCAUUUCCGCUGUUUUAGAUGAAAAAGGAGACAGAAAUAAAUCUCCCAGGAGACAGAUGGGAAAGGCAACUUAAGAUAGGAAGGCAAGAAGGGAGGACGUAGGGGGCAAUGAGGGGACAGGGCAAGGACAUCAUUUCGCUGCUGCCCAAUGCCUGGGCGAAACCCUCAGCCUUCCUAGUUCAUGUACCUUUGUCCCGCUCUCCUCUGACACAAGGAGUCUCACCAUUUUGUGAGAUCCCACAAAAGCCAACCCCAGCAAAACUAGAUCUCCUUCAUGGUGAGGAGCCAGAGAUGGAGAGAUUCCUUUAGUUUGUCCUCCUCCUGUUUUAUUUCUGGAGGUUUCCAUUUACUGAAUUCCAAGCCUCA
Molecule: long non-coding RNA, 2089 nt
Organism: Canis lupus familiaris (dog)
Lineage: Eukaryota; Metazoa; Chordata; Mammalia; Carnivora; Canidae
Exons: 3
Source: RefSeq, a predicted model, not a curated record